AGCGCCCUAGGAGCGCCUUGACAGCGCCCGUAAGCCAGCAGCGCCCUGGAGCGCCUUGACAGCGCCCGUAAGCCGGCAGCGCCCUGGAGCGCCUUGAUAGCGCCCUUGGAGCGCCUUGCCCUAUUUUUGUACCACAUCGAUUACAAUACGUUAUAAUGUUAUGAAUAUAAGGAAUGACUUGGUUUAUGAGUUUGUAAAUAUAAGCCAGGUUGGCGCCACCCCCGUCGCUCCCCGUGUCUUGGCGCCACCCUGUCGCCAGUGCAAUUCUAUUUUCUUUGAACCAUCUUUGUACCACAUCGAGAACAUAAUGGUAUAUUCUUAUGAAUAUAACCAGUGAUCUACCACAUCGAGAACAUAAUGGUAUAUUCUUGUGAAUAUAACCAGUGAUCUAAUUAUUCAACAAACUAUGUAAGCCAAGCGCCACCCCUGUCGCCAGCACAUAGGCGCCGCCCCUGUCGCCGUUCAAAUGUUAUUUUCUUAAACCAAUUUCUUCGUACCACAUCGAGAAGGAGUAAAAGGAGGGUCACUCCUUUCCUUAUAUAUACACAACACAUGCUAGCUUAUUAAAAUUAGGAAGCGCCGCUGCUAAAUUUGGUACGUCUACUUAUUUAUUCCUAAUUAAUGAUUUAUUUUUAUAGUUUUGUUAGCUCAGUUAUUAGGUUAGCUGUGAUUUUAGAAUUAAUAUAGGUUUGACUUAUAAUUAAUAAAUGUGUGAACAUUCGAGGGAAUGAAGUUGUAGGACUCGAGAACGUAUACAGUACCCUUCGCUGUGAUAUUUUAUGAUGUUUCGGUGAACAUUUUAUUGAUGACUUUCUGAUGAGAAAUGAGUACUCUUACAUUUGUUCUAUGUGUGAUGCUUCCUUUGUGAAGUAAAGUAUGAUACUUCCUUCGGGAAGGAAAGCUAAACCAAUUGUUUAGCUGGCCGGGAUCCCCAACAGUAGAACGUGUGAACUUGUGAACGUGUCUGAAUACUCAUACUCAUCUUGAUGUGUGAAACUGUUUUGAUGACUCUGAUGAAAUAUUGAUUUGGUUCACCAAGUUUUGUGAAUAAAACUCAGUUGAAAUGUACGUAUAUGCUUGCUGAGCUUUAUAAGCUCAUCCUUUUUUAUGUAUUAACUUUACAGGGAAAAAUUUCGGAAAAGGAUAUUAAGGCUAAUGCUAGGUGAAGAGUAUGAGCUGUUAAGUAUCCAAUAGUCAAGAGAGAUAUUCAGGGAAAUGUUCAAGGUUGGUCUUAGAUGGAAUUGUGUAAUUGAGAUUCAGUUGUAAACUAUAGUUGUAGUAGAUUAACAGUGAUUCUUCUUAUCGAAGUUGAUCCGAUAAUGGUAGUAGUUGAUUCUAAUUUCAAUACUGUAACCUGGAUGCGAUCCUGUUGUUUUAGAGGGUUAAAAUGUUCUCUUUUUAAUCUUUUAUUAAUGCUUUCAGGUUUUAAAUUCCUCACAUAGUCAAGAGAGAUAUUCAGGGAAAUGUUCAAGGUUGGUCUUAGAUGGAAUUGUGUAAUUGAGAUUCAGUUGUAGACUAUAGUUGUAGUAGAUUAACAGUGAUUCUUCUUAUCGAAGUUGAUCCGAUAAUGGUAGUAGUUGUAUCUAAUUUCAAUACUGUAACCUGGAUGCGAUCCUGUUGUUUUAGGGGGUUAAAUGUUCUCUUUUAAAUCUUUUAUUAAUGCUUUCAGGUUUUAAAUUAUUUGGUUUUCAGAAAUACAGUUUUUCAAAAGUGUUUUAAAAGAUUUUGUGUGGUGACGUCAGGAUCCAGGCCCCCAGAUUUCUGGGGCGUCACAAAUCGGACUGGAGGGAAUGGAAUGAAAUUUGAUAUAUAUCUUGAGUAAAUGUUUAAAAUUCUCUUUAGCAAAAAAAUAAAUAAAAAAUCAACUUACUAGUAAAAAAACCUCAAAAUCUUUAUAUUUUCCUCCAUUCCUUUCCUAGCCUCCUACACUAGAGCUUAAACCCUCAAUUUGAGAAAGAAAACUCCACUCCUUCCUACAUGCCUAGUUUCUUCACAAAUCUCAACAUCAAAAAUUUACACUCGCUCGAUUGUUUUUUUCAAAUCUUCCAUCCUACCUUUUACUGCUUCCAUUCAAUUUUAAUCAUUACAUACCAUCAUCCCCAACCAAACACAACAACACAUUCCAUUCAAUUUUAAUCAUUACAUACCAUCAUCCCCAACCAAACACAACAACACAAGAAUAAUUCUUAAAUACCUUCAGGUGGAAGCACAGGUUAGUUCGCACAGCUAAACAACUAAUUAGCUAUGAUUCAUAAAUUACACAUAAGCUGCCUUCCGCUGCAAGAACAAAUAUUUUGAGUAAACAUAACCCAGGAGCAUAGUGAAUCACAGGCUCACAGCUAUUAAAAGUUCAAAUAAUUAAGCCCUGAAGAAUUACCAACACAUGCAAGGGGAAGUGAAAGAUGGGAAACCCAAGGCACAGAUAAAUGAUAGUGGAAUCUCAUUAAGGCCAGCUCAAAGCCUAGGUAUAUAAGUCAAACUUUCCUUUAUAUUGCUAUGCUGUUUUCUUUUCUUCUUCUUGUGUUGGUAUUUUACACUUCAAAGGAUAUUUUAAUUGUUACCACAGUCUCAAGUUACGGAUUAUCUACUCUACCAGCUCUGGUAUUACUCUCAAACAGUUAGAUUGUGCUCUGUAUCAGCAUAAUAAAUUAUCACCCCUAGGCAAUAUUCACACUACUGAUAAGAAGAUCAAGGGCAAUGAGGGUAACAUAAAUGCACUUAGGCAUUAGUGAAACAAUUUGGACGAAUAAAGCUUCGCAGUCCAACUGUAACAAUUUCAUAGACCUUAUUUAGCCAAAAAAAAAUAAAUUCCUAGAACUCAAAAAAUAAAAAAUAGAAAUCUUAC
This 2845-nucleotide long non-coding RNA is filed under the name Daucus carota (carrot). RNAcentral describes it as "long non-coding RNA (DCAR_LNC004659)". Lineage: Eukaryota; Viridiplantae; Streptophyta; Magnoliopsida; Apiales; Apiaceae. The record is from RNAcentral.